ACGUAGGGUGCAAGCGUUAUUCGGAUUCACUGGGCGUAAAGGGUGCGCAGGCGGCCGUGUGUGUGAAGUGUGAAAGCCCGGGGCUUAACCCCGGAAUUGCACCUCAAACUACAUGGCUAGAGCAUUGGAGAGGGUAGCGGAAUUCACGGUGUAGCAGUGAAAUGCGUAGAUAUCGUGAGGAACACCAGAGGCGAAGGCGGCUACCUGGACAAUUGCUGACGCUCAGGCACGAAAGCGUGGGGAGCAAAAGGGA
RNAcentral lists this ribosomal RNA (253 nucleotides) under uncultured prokaryote. Its description in RNAcentral is "partial 16S ribosomal RNA". It matches the Rfam family "Bacterial small subunit ribosomal RNA", at positions 525 to 777 of the family's 1533-position model. The record is from RNAcentral.